UACGGAGGGGGUUAGCGUUGUUCGGAAUUACUGGGCGUAAAGCGCGCGUAGGCGGAUUAGAAAGUUGGGGGUGAAAUCCCGGGGCUCAACCCCGGAACUGCCUCCAAAACUACUAGUCUAGAGUUCGAGAGAGGUGAGUGGAAUUCCGAGUGUAGAGGUGAAAUUCGUAGAUAUUCGGAGGAACACCAGUGGCGAAGGCGGCUCACUGGCUCGAUACUGACGCUGAGGUGCGAAAGCUAGGGUAGCAAAUGGG
Molecule: ribosomal RNA, 253 nt
Filed under: uncultured bacterium
Lineage: Bacteria
Description: partial 16S ribosomal RNA
Rfam family: Bacterial small subunit ribosomal RNA
Source: RNAcentral